CCUACGGGUGACAGCAGUGAGGAAUAUUGGUCAAUGGACGAGAGUCUGAACCAGCCAAGUAGCGUGAAGGAUGACUGCCCUAUGGGUUGUAAACUUCGUUUAUAAAGGAAUAAAACGAGGCACGUGUGCCUUUUUGCAUGUACUUUAUGAAUAAGGAUCGGCUAACUCCGUGCCAGCCGCCGCGGUACUACGGAGGAUCCGAGCGUUAUCCGGCUUUAUUGGGUUUAAAGGGAGCGUAGAUGGGUUGUUAAGUCAGUUGUGAAAGUUUGCGGCUCAACCGUAAAAAUGCAAUUGAUACUGGCAGUCUUGAGUACAGUUGAGGUAGGCGGAAUUCGUGGUGUAGCGGUGAAAUGCUUAGAUAUCACGAAGAACCCCGAUUGCGAAGGCAGCUUACUAAACUGUGACUGACAUUGAUGCUCGAAAGUGUGGGUAUCAAACAGGAUUAGAUACCCGAGUAGUC
Molecule: ribosomal RNA, 460 nt
Filed under: uncultured bacterium
Lineage: Bacteria
Description: partial 16S ribosomal RNA
Rfam family: Bacterial small subunit ribosomal RNA
Source: RNAcentral